GAUGAACGCUGGCGGCGUGCUUAAUACAUGCAAGUCGAGCGAACAGAUGAGGAGCUUGCUCCUCUGACGUUAGCGGCGGACGGGUGAGUAACACGUGGAUAACCUACCUAUAAGACUGGGAUAACUUCGGGAAACCGGAGCUAAUACCGGAUAAUAUAUUGAACCGCAUGGUUCAAUAGUGAAAGACGGUUUUGCUGUCACUUAUAGAUGGAUCCGCGCCGCAUUAGCUAGUUGGUAAGGUAACGGCUUACCAAGGCAACGAUGCGUAGCCGACCUGAGAGGGUGAUCGGCCACACUGGAACUGAGACACGGUCCAGACUCCUACGGGAGGCAGCAGUAGGGAAUCUUCCGCAAUGGGCGAAAGCCUGACGGAGCAACGCCGCGUGAGUGAUGAAGGUCUUCGGAUCGUAAAACUCUGUUAUUAGGGAAGAACAAAUGUGUAAGUAACUAUGCACGUCUUGACGGUACCUAAUCAGAAAGCCACGGCUAACUACGUG
RNAcentral lists this ribosomal RNA (497 nucleotides) under uncultured bacterium. RNAcentral describes it as "partial 16S ribosomal RNA". It matches the Rfam family "Bacterial small subunit ribosomal RNA", at positions 28 to 507 of the family's 1533-position model. The record is from RNAcentral.